This 1258-nucleotide long non-coding RNA is filed under the name Homo sapiens (human). Its description in RNAcentral is "HSALNT0010159". Lineage: Eukaryota; Metazoa; Chordata; Mammalia; Primates; Hominidae. The record is from RNAcentral.
GAAGCUUCAAGUGCAGAGGCACUUGUACAUCUACUUAUCUUGAGUCUCAAUGAUGCUGUUUAUGAGUGAGCUAUUCAAAUGGAGGAAGAAACCCACGGAGAAGGAGAAAUAACAGGUCGGAGUGAUUAUGUACAGAAGGAUAGGCUCUAGCAGGAGUCCAGUGGGAAAGAAGGAAGGGAAUACAAUUAAGAAUUAUUAAUGGCAGAUCUCUAAUGAUUUCACUGGAUCCAAAGGAACAGGGCAAUACUGAGUAAGAAACACUUGAUAUACGAAAAAAGCGUGAGUGCGAAGGAAAAUACAUCAUUCUACAGAUGUUGACGGACUCUGACGGUGGGAAAGCGUCCCUCAAGAUUGAAUUGGAGUAGAAGCUGACCCUCCCACUUGCCCAGAGAUCCCCUAGCUGGAGAAAACAAAAAAAUCCAAAUGUGUCUUCAAACAUGGCCAGAAUGAGGUUUCAACACACAUGGGAACAAGAUAUAUUCAUGGAAUGUGCCUUUGAACCUGCAUUCAAAAGAACUCAGACAGAGUAGGAGAAUGGACCAGAUGACCUCUAUAGGUGUCUCUCCACAGGCAGAAAAAUCAAACGCCCAGAGAGGUCAAGAUGUCUGCAAAGAGACACAGAGUGAUGCAAUGGAAAUCCUGUGUGGAGGUCUCCAGAAGGCUAAUUUCUGAAGCAGUGUUCUAUCCACAUGACCGUGCUGCUGCUCAUUAAGAUGGUACCUCUCAUUAAGAUAAAGCAUAAUCAUUAAAAAUCCUUUAGCUUGCUCACAUUAACUACCAUUGUGCGUCACAGGUCUAAUGCUUCAUGAAAGCUCAGAGUGAAUUAGACAUUUUAUUUAAGUGCUACUUAACUAAAAGUUAAAAAGUAUAAUUUUCUAUUGCAGCAUAAGAACUGGAGAGACUAAUUUGGUGUGGUUGUUAAAUUUUACAAAGCCUGAUUCUCAAUUUUCAAAAAAUAUUGUACAUUUAUUUAUUGAAGUGAAUGAAACAUUUGCUAUAAAACUAUUCAACGGAAAGUUUUUUAACAAAGCAUAAUUUACUUUUCAUUUACAGAACAAUGGAAAGUAGAAAGAAAUCUCCUCCAAGGUAUUAGAAUCAUGUACAGUUUCAUAUUUGACUAAAAAAUUAUUUCCCCAGCCUGUUUUCUCAACACUAAGGAUAUGCAGAAAAGUAUCACUUGCAUUCAUCAUGAAAAUUACAGAAAAAUGACUGAAACUACUGAGAACAUUAUUAAAUAAAACAUAUACUUAUUAUCUGU